CCUACGGGUGGCAGCAGUGAGGGAUAUUGGUCAAUGGACGAGAGUCUGAACCAGCCAAGUAGCGUGAAGGAUGACUGCCCUAUGGGUUGUAAACUUCUUUUAUAUGGGAAUAAAAUGUUCCACGUGUGGGAUUUUGUAUGUACCAUAUGAAUAAGGAUCGGCUAACUCCGUGCCAGCAGCCGCGGUAAUACGGAGGAUCCGAGCGUUAUCCGGAUUUAUUGGGUUUAAAGGGAGCGUAGGUGGAUUGGUAAGUCAGUUGUGAAAGUUUGCGGCUCAACCGUAAAAUUGCAGUUGAAACUGGGAGUCUUGAGUGCAGGAGGGGGGGGCGGAAUUCGUGGUGUAGCGGUGAAAUGCUUAGAUAUCACGAAGAACACCGAUUGCGAAGGCAGCUUACUGGACUGCAACUGACACUGAGGCCCGAAAGUGUGGGGAUCAAACAGGAUUAGAUACCCCAGUAGUC
Molecule: ribosomal RNA, 460 nt
Filed under: uncultured bacterium
Lineage: Bacteria
Description: partial 16S ribosomal RNA
Rfam family: Bacterial small subunit ribosomal RNA
Source: RNAcentral